GAAACAGCACGAGGGUGGAGGAAGAGGAGGAGGAAGAGGAGGAAGAGGGGGAGGAGGGCGUUACCCCCACAGCACUUCAGCAUGGAUCCAAUGUGGAGACAAACGGAGCCAGCUUCUUCUACUGAGCGUUUGGAAGCGGUGCUGUCCUACCUCCUUACGGGGAACAAAAGACGAGAAGACCAUGGCCUCUCGGCUCCAUGCACUCUCGACCACGGGUAUUCUUGGGUUGAUAAUACAGAUGUGGAUGUUAUUGCUUGAGAAUACGCGUAGUCGAGUGGAGGCUUUAUCAUCUACGCUGGACCUCAAAUGGGCAUUGGUCACAAGGUGGGGAGGGGUGGCGCGGCUAAUAGAGGUGGCUUUUAAUGGGUUUAUCAAGCGUGCCCCUCUUAACACCUGUGGAGGAAAUGAGUUUGCACGGAUCUCCUGCAAGAGGCGACCUCCUGCACUAAGAUCGGCCCAAAUCCAACCCCCACCCCCUACCCCCCCUUCCCAGGCUCCUUCAAGGCAUUAGUUCAGGGAGAUUAACACUGAAGUCACAUGUUAAUUACAAACCUACUCUUGUCGGUCAGCCGUGCCCCCGAGAGGGACUAUAAUCUUAUCACCGGUGAGAGGAUUUCAUGAGCCUGUUUUCACCACCAUUUUGUAGGACUUUGUACAAAAAGUAUUGCGUUGUUUUGAGUAGAAAAAUAAUAGACUGACAUUUCAAAUCAUGGCAAUUUACACAAUGUAUUAUAUAUAUUUUUAUUACCUCUGCAUAUUUUAAAUAUGUAUGUAAAUCGACAUUGUACUUUAAACACAAAUAAAUACAAAAUAAUUUAUUUUCUUGGCAGAUUGUAAUGACUUCAGUGCAUGUCGGCCAUCUUUGUGGAAACUGUUGAGUUCGUACUUGCUGCAAAAUGAUCCCUUUCAAACUCAAUACAGCAGAAUAUGAAAUGAAAGAAGACAUAUUAUGCUCAUUCCCUUUGUAUUGAGUUGUGGACUCCAAUAGAGCAGCUACACACAAUAACCUGCACAGAAAGCUUUCUAGAUCUUCCAGAUUCUGCCCCUCUUUCUGCAGUGUUUCCAUGGAUUUCCUGCUCCCAAACAGUCUGUUUAAGUUACUCCACCCCGGCCUUCCUCCAGGUACGCUAAUUCUGCUGUGAUUGCUCACACUACCAAGCGCUACCAAGGACUUUCAGACAGCUGCCGAGCUCAUUUUGUCCAAUUAUUUAUACAAAACAAAUACUGAUAAAUUUGUACUCACAGGCUUGCUCUUCUGACUCUUCAACAUGAACAAGUAACAUUGGAACUGUUUACAAAACAGACAGAUGAGCAUAUUUUUCUCUUGCCGGCCGGGAAUCACAAACUCCCACCACUUCUGCCAGUGUGCCUGAUGCUUGCCUCUGGAGGCAAGAUAGCUUUUCCUCACACCAGAACAUACAUUUCCUGGAAGCCGACAUGAUAAUAUGGUGACAUUUUCCACAAGCGAGUGAAGUGGGGGUUGGCCUACAAGCAUGCACCCUGGUAUGGUCAUAUAAGGAAGUGUAAGCAUUGACGUCAGUAGAACUCUGAGCAUGCAGAGCCAUUCAAAACUUCUUUCAGGGCUCACCUCCAAAUGCCCAAAGCUCAUUAUCUGAUGCUUUGGCAUCGUUUCACACGAGAAUACAACAUUGUAACAACAUUUAUAUGUCAGAAAAUUAAAUAGUUCCCCUUUAAAGUCAGCAUAAGGACAACUAAAUGAUUUCCUUCAGUAUAAAGUAUGAUGAUAACUAUAGAGCAGUAUGAACAAUAUGAUGAGACAAUCAUAAUAAAAGAAGAGAAAAUGACUACACACUGCUGUCAGCUUUAUUUGGUUUUAGUUAUUUUGCUCUGCUGUGCUUUUUUCGUUGUUAUACUUGUAUGUCAGUUUAUAAUGUCAAAGAUUGCCUGUAUAGAACAGCUUGAGAGUAGAAUGGAUAUUUUUGUUUGUUUUUGCUAUGCCACCGCAGAAGGGUAACAGUGAUGA
This is a long non-coding RNA of Doryrhamphus excisus (bluestripe pipefish), 1984 nucleotides long. RefSeq lists it as uncharacterized. The record is from RefSeq and is a predicted model, not a curated record. NCBI's taxonomy places the organism in Eukaryota, Metazoa, Chordata, Actinopteri, Syngnathiformes, Syngnathidae.